RNAcentral lists this ribosomal RNA (2901 nucleotides) under Escherichia coli. RNAcentral's name for it is "23S ribosomal RNA". It matches the Rfam family "Bacterial large subunit ribosomal RNA". Lineage: Bacteria; Pseudomonadati; Pseudomonadota; Gammaproteobacteria; Enterobacterales; Enterobacteriaceae. The record is from RNAcentral. RNAcentral also lists the same sequence under 2 other names.
UUAAGCGACUAAGCGUACACGGUGGAUGCCCUGGCAGUCAGAGGCGAUGAAGGACGUGCUAAUCUGCGAUAAGCGUCGGUAAGGUGAUAUGAACCGUUAUAACCGGCGAUUUCCGAAUGGGGAAACCCAGUGUGAUUCGUCACACUAUCAUUAACUGAAUCCAUAGGUUAAUGAGGCGAACCGGGGGAACUGAAACAUCUAAGUACCCCGAGGAAAAGAAAUCAACCGAGAUUCCCCCAGUAGCGGCGAGCGAACGGGGAGCAGCCCAGAGCCUGAAUCAGUGUGUGUGUUAGUGGAAGCGUCUGGAAAGGCGCGCGAUACAGGGUGACAGCCCCGUACACAAAAAUGCACAUGCUGUGAGCUCGAUGAGUAGGGCGGGACACGUGGUAUCCUGUCUGAAUAUGGGGGGACCAUCCUCCAAGGCUAAAUACUCCUGACUGACCGAUAGUGAACCAGUACCGUGAGGGAAAGGCGAAAAGAACCCCGGCGAGGGGAGUGAAAAAGAACCUGAAACCGUGUACGUACAAGCAGUGGGAGCACGCUUAGGCGUGUGACUGCGUACCUUUUGUAUAAUGGGUCAGCGACUUAUAUUCUGUAGCAAGGUUAACCGAAUAGGGGAGCCGAAGGGAAACCGAGUCUUAACUGGGCGUUAAGUUGCAGGGUAUAGACCCGAAACCCGGUGAUCUAGCCAUGGGCAGGUUGAAGGUUGGGUAACACUAACUGGAGGACCGAACCGACUAAUGUUGAAAAAUUAGCGGAUGACUUGUGGCUGGGGGUGAAAGGCCAAUCAAACCGGGAGAUAGCUGGUUCUCCCCGAAAGCUAUUUAGGUAGCGCCUCGUGAAUUCAUCUCCGGGGGUAGAGCACUGUUUCGGCAAGGGGGUCAUCCCGACUUACCAACCCGAUGCAAACUGCGAAUACCGGAGAAUGUUAUCACGGGAGACACACGGCGGGUGCUAACGUCCGUCGUGAAGAGGGAAACAACCCAGACCGCCAGCUAAGGUCCCAAAGUCAUGGUUAAGUGGGAAACGAUGUGGGAAGGCCCAGACAGCCAGGAUGUUGGCUUAGAAGCAGCCAUCAUUUAAAGAAAGCGUAAUAGCUCACUGGUCGAGUCGGCCUGCGCGGAAGAUGUAACGGGGCUAAACCAUGCACCGAAGCUGCGGCAGCGACACUAUGUGUUGUUGGGUAGGGGAGCGUUCUGUAAGCCUGUGAAGGUGUACUGUGAGGUAUGCUGGAGGUAUCAGAAGUGCGAAUGCUGACAUAAGUAACGAUAAAGCGGGUGAAAAGCCCGCUCGCCGGAAGACCAAGGGUUCCUGUCCAACGUUAAUCGGGGCAGGGUGAGUCGACCCCUAAGGCGAGGCCGAAAGGCGUAGUCGAUGGGAAACAGGUUAAUAUUCCUGUACUUGGUGUUACUGCGAAGGGGGGACGGAGAAGGCUAUGUUGGCCGGGCGACGGUUGUCCCGGUUUAAGCGUGUAGGCUGGUUUUCCAGGCAAAUCCGGAAAAUCAAGGCUGAGGCGUGAUGACGAGGCACUACGGUGCUGAAGCAACAAAUGCCCUGCUUCCAGGAAAAGCCUCUAAGCAUCAGGUAACAUCAAAUCGUACCCCAAACCGACACAGGUGGUCAGGUAGAGAAUACCAAGGCGCUUGAGAGAACUCGGGUGAAGGAACUAGGCAAAAUGGUGCCGUAACUUCGGGAGAAGGCACGCUGAUAUGUAGGUGAAGCGACUUGCUCGUGGAGCUGAAAUCAGUCGAAGAUACCAGCUGGCUGCAACUGUUUAUUAAAAACACAGCACUGUGCAAACACGAAAGUGGACGUAUACGGUGUGACGCCUGCCCGGUGCCGGAAGGUUAAUUGAUGGGGUCAGCGCAAGCGAAGCUCUUGAUCGAAGCCCCGGUAAACGGCGGCCGUAACUAUAACGGUCCUAAGGUAGCGAAAUUCCUUGUCGGGUAAGUUCCGACCUGCACGAAUGGCGUAAUGAUGGCCAGGCUGUCUCCACCCGAGACUCAGUGAAAUUGAACUCGCUGUGAAGAUGCAGUGUACCCGCGGCAAGACGGAAAGACCCCGUGAACCUUUACUAUAGCUUGACACUGAACAUUGAGCCUUGAUGUGUAGGAUAGGUGGGAGGCUUUGAAGUGUGGACGCCAGUCUGCAUGGAGCCGACCUUGAAAUACCACCCUUUAAUGUUUGAUGUUCUAACGUUGACCCGUGAUCCGGGUUGCGGACAGUGUCUGGUGGGUAGUUUGACUGGGGCGGUCUCCUCCUAAAGAGUAACGGAGGAGCACGAAGGUUGGCUAAUCCUGGUCGGACAUCAGGAGGUUAGUGCAAUGGCAUAAGCCAGCUUGACUGCGAGCGUGACGGCGCGAGCAGGUGCGAAAGCAGGUCAUAGUGAUCCGGUGGUUCUGAAUGGAAGGGCCAUCGCUCAACGGAUAAAAGGUACUCCGGGGAUAACAGGCUGAUACCGCCCAAGAGUUCAUAUCGACGGCGGUGUUUGGCACCUCGAUGUCGGCUCAUCACAUCCUGGGGCUGAAGUAGGUCCCAAGGGUAUGGCUGUUCGCCAUUUAAAGUGGUACGCGAGCUGGGUUUAGAACGUCGUGAGACAGUUCGGUCCCUAUCUGCCGUGGGCGCUGGAGAACUGAGGGGGGCUGCUCCUAGUACGAGAGGACCGGAGUGGACGCAUCACUGGUGUUCGGGUUGUCAUGCCAAUGGCACUGCCCGGUAGCUAAAUGCGGAAGAGAUAAGUGCUGAAAGCAUCUAAGCACGAAACUUGCCCCGAGAUGAGUUCUCCCUGACUCCUUGAGAGUCCUGAAGGAACGUUGAAGACGACGACGUUGAUAGGCCGGGUGUGUAAGCGCAGCGAUGCGUUGAGCUAACCGGUACUAAUGAACCGUGAGGCUUAACCUU